Molecule: non-coding RNA, 126 nt
Organism: Podarcis lilfordi (Lilford's wall lizard)
Lineage: Eukaryota; Metazoa; Chordata; Lepidosauria; Squamata; Lacertidae
Source: the annotation of a GenBank genome assembly
AUCCCCAAACUCGGCCCUCCAGCUGUUUUGGGACUACAACUCCCAUCAUUCCUAGAUAACAGGACCAGUGGUCAGGGAUAAUGGGAAUUGUAGUCCCAAAACAGCUGGAAGGCCGAGUUUGGGAAU